Long non-coding RNA from Salvia miltiorrhiza (redroot sage), 2123 nucleotides. RefSeq lists it as uncharacterized. The transcript has 4 exons. NCBI's taxonomy places the organism in Eukaryota, Viridiplantae, Streptophyta, Magnoliopsida, Lamiales, Lamiaceae. The record is from RefSeq and is a predicted model, not a curated record.
UAUUUAGGAAAUUUAGAAACUAGAAGCCCUAGUUUUCUUCGUCUCUCACAUCUAAUCUCCCUGCCUCGGUGCCUCCUCCUGCGUCCUCCCUGUCUCUCUCGACUCUCUCUCUCCCCUCUCGACUCCGCCGCCGGCGCCGCUGCCCCGCGCCGGCCCAUCGACGCCCACCCUUGUCGCUACGUCGCGCCGCUGCCGCCCACCCUCGUCUCCCUCUUAAUCUCCUCUCUCUCUGACUUAAAUGCACGCACACCACACCGCGCCUGAAAUCCUAGAUCUAUAAUCUACAGCCACCUCCCUGCCGAUUCCCGUCGACCGCACGGCGGGAAGGCCGCCGCCUCCGAGCGCAGCCCAAAGCCCCCUCUUCUCUCCAUACUCCGGCGACAACAGCGGCUCCUUGCCGCCGCCGUGCCCUAGCUUCAAUCCGCCGCUGAACUCCCUCUUCCGGCCGCACCACCUGUCCGACCACCACAGCACCAGCCCAGCCGCCUUCGUCGCAGCGCAACACCACCGCGACCCACUCCAGAACUGUUGCCCCCCACCAUCUACACAAGGUGGCUUUGUGCGCCACCCAUCGUUCCUAUCAUGAACGCCGAGGAAGAGCCACCAGUCGGCGCGAUUUACACCAUACCAGCAGCGCCAAACACCUCCUGCCACCGUCUCCCGCCGCCCAGUCACCUUCGCCCUUUUCCUGUCACCACCGUCAGUUUCCAGACACUGCCGCGCGGCCCCAGCUCCAAUCUCAACCCCGCUGUCUGCCGGAGCGAGCCCUGCCCUCCUCCACCGUUCAGGGAAGUUUAUUUCUUCAUUUUUGUGUUGUUCCAAUCAGGACUUGAUUUUUUGCUAAAUUAGGGCUCAAAUCUAGAAAGAGGCUUCCCCAAAUUGAUCUAUAAAAGGAUUUGAACAUAUUGACGCUAUUAAGUCCAGAUUUUUAGAUAUAUUACACUAUUAAAGACUAAGAGAUGAACUAAUUCGAUGCUAUAUGGGAUAAAUGAAAUUUUCUUGCUACAAACACUGGAAAAGUAAUAGUGACAGAUUCUGUAUGUUUAUCAAUGUGGAUUGUUGCUGGUUAAUAGUUUAGAAGUAUAAUCAUCUUCCUUAUAGGAGAUUGUAGUGAUUGCUUUUACAGUGUGAAGUUUUUUAUUUGACCUGCCUCUCGAGGUAAAUCAUACUUGUUCUACUCUACUAUCUAUUCAUUUUGAAACUGUUGAUGAAUUAAGGUUUGAUUCUAUAAGAAUUUGAUGCACAUUGCUGCUACUUUAUUUGGAUUUCCAUUAGACACAUACAUCAAAGCAAGUUUCAAACUAUCAAAAUGUUGUUAGGCAAAUACUAAUAAUUUGUGCGUACAAGGUAAUGUGAUAGAAUCAUAGAAUGAGACGUAACUUAAAACAUAAAUCUUAUGGUAAUUGUGUGACUAGGCAUGCCAGUAAUUUCCCUAAAUGUAGCCUGGAUACACCUAAAGCUCAAUGGUUGGUUGAUCGUGCAUUGAUAACUCAUAUUGAUUUAAAGUUGUGAUGCAUCUAAGAAGAUGGAAAAAUUGGAAUAGGACACUCAAAAGAAUCUUAGAAUAUGGGAUUUGAAUGUGUAGCUGUUGUGAAAGUCUUAGCUUUGAGUGUGUCUGUCUCUCUUGAUUCUCACACGAGGAAUAUUAUAAGACAUGAUUGGAUAUGCUUACCAUCUUCCUCUGUAUUGUUGCAGACAAAAAUACAAUGUGAAGUUCUUGUAGAUACACAGAACCAAACAGUUACUCGUCAAAGUUGCUACCCUGAGGUGCUAAACCGGAUUGCUGGACUGGACAGGAAAUCAUGAUUUCCUAAUAGUUUUGAAUAAGUGAAUUUGGGCAUUCUUGAGGUGAACUCGCUCGUGUUGGUGCAGGUUCAUUAUUGUGAUUGAGUUUAUCAUCUUGGCGGAUCAAGUAGAUGGGAGUCGAUGAGCUAUGAGGACUACUACAAACGAGAAGGUUGAAGCAGAGAACGUCGUUUCAAAUGUCUAGCAAAUUGCGCGCAUUUGUAAUAUUUUUUAAUUAAACAUCUAGCUAAAUAGAAUAUAUGUGAAGUUUUCAUUAUAUUUGGAUGAUAAUGUAUGAAUAUUUUGGAUGAUAUAUAAUAUUGUUAUUGUUGAUUUUA